CAUGUACGGUGGAUGGUCCGACUAGCAGUGGCCGCACGGGCCAAGAAUCGAUCUUUUCCCUAUACUUUUUAGUAACCUGGGAGCGGCGGAGAGAGAGAGAGAGGUGCCUUGAUUGCAGAGAAAAGAAGCCAUGGAAUGAGAGAGAGAGAGAGAGAUUGAAAUGGGAGGUAUCCUAUCACAGCAAGGAGUUGGUGCGGUGAGCCGCUGCUGUUGCUUGGGAUUGACGUCAUCCUCGACAUCCACAUCAACACGUUCGAGGAGAACAUGAUCCGACCCCUUCAAACCCUCUCGGAUCUCAACAGCAGAUCCAAAUCCCCAACAACAACAGCAGCAGCAGCAGCAACAACAACAACAGCCUCAACAGCAGCAGCAGCAACAACAACACCACCAACAACACGAACACCACCACCACCACCAACAACAACAACAACAACGAACUCCUUUCUCCCGACUUGGAAUGGAUGCAGCUGCUUCUCGCCCUGCCGUAGUCAUCGACAACGGAACCGGGUAUACCAAGAUGGGAUUUGCUGGCAAUGUUGAGCCAUGCUUCAUUAUACCAACUGUUGUGGCCGUCAAUGAGUCCUUUUUGAAUCAGUCAAGGGGUUCUGCAAAGGGAAAUUGGCUAGCACAGCAUAGUGCGGGUGUCAUGGCUGAUCUCGAUUUCUUCAUAGGAGACGAGGCUCUGUCACGGUCUCGCUCAAGCAGUACAUAUAAUCUCAGCUACCCUAUUCAUCAUGGUCAGGUGGAGAAUUGGGAUACAAUGGAGAGAUUCUGGCAGCAGUGCAUAUUCAAUUACUUGCGUUGUGACCCUGAGGACCACUACUUCCUUCUGACUGAGAGUCCUCUCACUGCUCCUGAAAAUCGGGAAUACACAGGAGAAAUUAUGUUUGAGACAUUUAAUGUUCCAGGACUCUAUAUAGCAGUACAACCUGUCCUUGCCCUUGCUGCUGGGUACACAACUUCCAAGUGUGAAAUGACAGGGGUUGUAGUUGAUGUUGGAGACGGGGCUACUCAUGUUGUACCUGUUGCAGAUGGUUAUGUUAUUGGGAGCAGCAUCAAGUCCAUUCCUAUUGCUGGGAAGGAUGUUACUCUCUUUAUUCAACAACUCUUGCGGGAAAGAGGAGAGCAUAUACCACCAGAAGACUCUUUUGAUGUUGCUCGAAAGGUGAAAGAAAUGUAUUGCUACACUUGUUCAGACAUUGUCAAGGAGUAUGGAAAGCACGACCGAGAACCAUCUAAGUACAUCAAGCAAUGGAGUGGGGUUAAACCGAAGACUGGAGCACCAUACUCUUGUGAUAUCGGCUAUGAACGAUUUCUUGGCCCUGAGGUUUUCUUUAAUCCUGAGAUCUACAGCAGCGAUUUUACCACCCCUUUACCUGCUGUAAUUGACAAGUGUAUUCAGUCAGCACCAAUAGACACAAGGAGGGCUCUUUAUAAGAAUAUAGUAUUAUCUGGAGGGUCGACGAUGUUCAAGGACUUCCAUAGAAGGUUGCAGCGGGAUCUAAAGAAGAUAGUAGAUGUACGGAUAGUUGCAUCUGAUGCCCGGCAUGGUGGAGAAGUAAAAUCACAGCCUGUGGAAGUCAAUGUAGUAAGCCAUCCUAUUCAGAGUUUUGCCGUUUGGUUUGGAGGCUCUGUACUUGCAUCAACACCUGAAUUCUAUGCGGAGUGGAUACUACUAGUCAAUGGAAGGAUUAUGUCAAUUUGGGUGCAUGGCUAAGCAUGGAUCGAGGUGGGACUUCCUACUUUGGACAAGCUACAUCGGAUUACUAAGAUCUCAUGACAUAAAUCAAAGGCUUGCCAUACAAAAGCAGAGUAUGAGGAAUAUGGUGCGAGCAUCUGCCGUACAAAUCCUGUCUUCAAAGGGAUGUACUGAGUUCGUAAUUGAUUUCUCUUUGCAGCGGUUUUCAUUUGUAACUCCCACUGUACACUGGCAACGGUCUCUUCCCUACCGUCGGACAUUGUUCUGAUGCAUUUUUCAGUGUCAUCUGGAUGUUCCCAUGUAAGGGAAACGAUCCCCCUUGAGAGUUGUAUUAUAGAUGUUAACCAAUGGAUUUGAUGCUGUUAUUAGCGAAGUUUUUUCUUUCUUUCUUUCUUUCUUUUUUUUUUUUUAGGGGGGUUGGUUUGUUUGAAGGAAAUGUCUUGUAGCAGCAGCUCCAUGUAUACGCCGAGCAGUGACUUAGUGAAGCAGGGACUAAGCUGAAUGGUCUUUUAGCAUUUAGCUUAGUACGAGUUUAAUUAAACAUUUUAUUUAUUUA
Molecule: RNA transcript, 2255 nt
Organism: Magnolia sinica
Lineage: Eukaryota; Viridiplantae; Streptophyta; Magnoliopsida; Magnoliales; Magnoliaceae
Gene name: actin-related protein 3
Exons: 12
Source: RefSeq, a predicted model, not a curated record